Homo sapiens (human) is the source of this 1216-nucleotide long non-coding RNA. Ensembl annotates it as long intergenic non-protein coding RNA 1938. Lineage: Eukaryota; Metazoa; Chordata; Mammalia; Primates; Hominidae. The record is from Ensembl.
GAACACUUUGGGCUCCUCAUGCCUCUGAAUCAACGGGCAAAGAAGAGAGUUAUAGAUCCUAACCACCCAGGAGAAAUUCGGUGGCCACUACACAAACAGAGUAAGAGGAGCAUUUCUAUGAUGCGGGAGAUCCUCUAGAAUGUUUGUUGGUAUUCCCAGGUCCUGUGAUUAAAGUAUGUGGAAAACUAUAGCAGCCCAAUUCAGGAUGUUUCCAGAUACUUCAGUAAGUGAGAACUGUGUCACUACGCCACAUUGACCAGUUGAGAGGCUAGCUCAGUGCAAAGAAAAUAUGAAAUGAGUAGGGGAAGAAGGUAGCUAUAAACAUCAGUUAUGGCCACAUGACCAAUUAUAGAAACAAGACUAGAAUAGUGUGAGUACUUAUUUCUUAUUUUGGUAUAACUAUGUUUGUAUUUGUAUUAACCAAGUAUCUCCCUUUUCUUUCUCUUUCUUCUUAUCAAAGAUGUAUUAAUAGUAAUUAAAUUUAUAUCAUAGUCUUGAAAUUACAAGAUAUCCAACUUGAAGCAUGCAUUGGGAGAAGAAUAAAUAUCAUCCAAAGACAAAAAAACAACAACACGACGUUGUGUUCUACUAAAAGGAAAAAAGCCUAUUUUCAGAUGUACUUAGAAGAGAUACACCAUGUUAGGUGGAAGUUUGACUUUGUCAUGAUCUUUUGUGUAGUCUAAGUAUGAUUUAAGAUGUUUAUGAGUGCCAAAUUGGUAAGGAGUGGAUUGUGCUGGCUCUGCAAACUAUGUCAGCUUGGCUGUACUGGGCUACAUUUCCCAGAGUACCCUUCCCUGUAUAUCUCCACUUAGGGUGGGCCAAGAGAGAUUCUUGCAGGCGAUUUAGUGGGUGGAAGUAAAGCAACAACUAUUUUAUAUCUUGCACAUAUUUUUGUCAGUCUGGUUAAAUUAUUGAUGUGAGGCAUGAGGUGGACCUACAACUAGUGCACCUUCCCUUUGAUAUUUCUUCAGCUUUUCUGACUCUGCGGCCAGGUGUUUGUAUUUAACUCCACGGUGAGGAGACUCAUCUUCUGACGGACCUAACCUAUACCAUCAAGCUCCAGCACCACAAGCAAAGACAAAAACCUUGCGGAAACUAUUUAACUAACUCCCACAAUUGCAUAAGGAUCUAAAUGAAAAUAUUUCUGCAGUGAACCAGUUCUAUUGUUUUAAAUAUCACCCUUAUUAAAGAGAGCUUUGACACUUUUCUAUGUAAA